CCCAGCAGAAGGGAGGAGUUAAGCAGCUCCAGAGUUUUCCCAGGAUCGGGAGAGCAGCAAAUCCAACAUUGCAGCUGCCCCAGGAGCUGCCAGGGAAAACUGGGAACGCCGGAAGUCACCGGCAGCAAAUCCAAAGUGACAGCGACAGGAAACAUUUACAGAGCCCCCGGCAGAGCUGGGAUCCGGGAUUUGGGAUUUGGGGAAUGGCAGAGCUGGGAUUUGGGGAAUGGCAGUUCUGGGAUUUGGGAUUUGGGGAAUGGCAGCUCUGGGAUUUGGGAUUUGGGGAAUGGCAGAGUUGGGAUUUGGGAUUUGGGAAUGGCAGCUCUGGGAUUUGGGGAUUUGGGGAAUGGCAGCUCUGGGAUUUGGGAUUUGGGGAAUGGCAGCUCUGGGAUUUGGGAUUUGGGAGCUGGGAUUUGGGAAUGGCAGCUCUGGGAUUUGGGAUUUGGGGAUGGCAGCUCUGGGAUUUGGGAUUUGGGGAAUGGCAGAGUUGGGAUUUGGGAUUUGGAGAAUGGCAGAGUUGGGAUUUAGGGAAUGGCAGCUCUGGGAUUUGGGAUUUGGGGAAUGGCAGCUCUGGGAUUUGGGAUGGAAUGGCAGCUCUGGGAUUUGGGAUUUGGGAAUGGCAGCUCUGGGAUUUGGGAUUUGGGAAUGGCAGCUCUGGGAUUUGGGAUUUGGGAAUGGCAGCUCUGGGAUUUGGGGAAUGGCAGCUCUGGGAUUUGGGAUUUGGGAAUGGCAGCUCUGGGAUUUGGGAUUUGGGGAAUGGCAGCUCUGGGAUUUGGGGAAUGGCAGCUCUGGGAUUUGGGAUUUGGGGAAUGGCAGCUCUGGGAUUUGGGAAUGGCAGAGUUGGUCUGGGAUUUGGGAUUUGGGGAAUGGCAGCUCUGGGAUUUGGGAUUUGGGGAAUGGCAGCUCUGGGAUUUGGGAUUUGGGAAUGGCAGCUCUGGGAUUUGGGGAAUGGCAGCUCUGGGAUUUGGGAUUUGGGGAAUGGCAGCUCUGGGAUUUGGGAUUUGGGAAUGGCAGCUCUGGGAUUUGGGGAAUGGCAGCUCUGGGAUUUGGGGAAUGGCAGCUCUGGGAUUUGGGAUUUGGGAAUGGCAGCUCUGGGAUUUGGGAUUUGGGGAAUGGCAGCUCUGGGAUUUGGGGAAUGGCAGCUCUGGGAUUUGGGGAUUUGGGGAAUGGCAGCUCUGGGAUUUGGGAUUUGGGGAAUGGCAGCUCUGGGAUUUGGGAUUUGGGAAUGGCACCUCUGGGAUUUGGGAUUUGGGGGAUUUGGAAUUUGGGGAA
Molecule: long non-coding RNA, 1272 nt
Filed under: Camarhynchus parvulus
Lineage: Eukaryota; Metazoa; Chordata; Aves; Passeriformes; Thraupidae
Description: lncRNA (ENSCPVG00000017727.1)
Source: RNAcentral